RNAcentral lists this ribosomal RNA (540 nucleotides) under uncultured bacterium. Its description in RNAcentral is "partial 16S ribosomal RNA". It matches the Rfam family "Bacterial small subunit ribosomal RNA", at positions 355 to 886 of the family's 1533-position model. The record is from RNAcentral.
UAGGGAAUCUUCGGCGAUGGACGAAAGUCUGACCGAGCAACGCCGCGUGAGUGAAGAAGGUUUUCGGAUCGUAAAACUCUGUUGGUAGAGAAGAACGUUGGUGAGAGUGGAAAGCUCAUCAAGUGACGGUAACUACCCAGAAAGGGACGGCUAACUACGUGCCAGCAGCCGCGGUAAUACGUAGGUCCCGAGCGUUGUCCGGAUUUAUUGGGCGUAAAGCGAGCGCAGGUGGUUUAUUAAGUCUGGUGUAAAAGGCAGUGGCUCAACCAUUGUAUGCAUUGGAAACUGGUAGACUUGAGUGCAGGAGAGGAGAGUGGAAUUCCAUGUGUAGCGGUGAAAUGCGUAGAUAUAUGGAGGAACACCGGUGGCGAAAGCGGCUCUCUGGCCUGUAACUGACACUGAGGCUCGAAAGCGUGGGGAGCAAACAGGAUUAGAUACCCUGGUAGUCCACGCCGUAAACGAUGAGUGCUAGAUGUAGGGAGCUAUAAGUUCUCUGUAUCGCAGCUAACGCAAUAAGCACUCCGCCUGGGGGAGUACGAC